This 361-nucleotide ribosomal RNA is filed under the name uncultured marine eukaryote. RNAcentral describes it as "SSU rRNA". It matches the Rfam family "Eukaryotic small subunit ribosomal RNA", at positions 619 to 984 of the family's 1831-position model. The record is from RNAcentral.
UUAAAAAGCUCGUAGUUGGAUUUCUGCUUGAGAGGGACGGCAGGCGUCAUUGACGUUUAGUCUGACUUCUCGUGCAUCCUGUCACGAACCACGUUGCUCUUAAUUGAGUGGCGUCGGGGAUUGGCUCGUUUACUUUGAGAAAAAUAGAGUGUUCAAAGCAGGCUUACGCAUCUGAAUAAGUUAGCAUGGAAUAAUGAUAAAGGACUUUGGUUCUAUUUGUUGGUGUUCGGAACUGAAGUAAUGACUGAUAGGGACAGUUGGGGGGCAUCAGUAUUCCGAAGCGAGAAGGUGAAAUUCUAGGACCUUCGGAAGACUAACCGCUGGCGAAAGCGUUUGCCAGGAUGUUCCCUUUGAUCAGAAC